Molecule: ribosomal RNA, 831 nt
Filed under: uncultured bacterium
Lineage: Bacteria
Description: bacterial SSU rRNA
Rfam family: Bacterial small subunit ribosomal RNA
Source: RNAcentral
AGAGUUUGAUCCUGGCUCAGGACGAACGCUGGCGGCGUGCUUAACACAUGCAAGUCGAACGGAAAGGCCCUGCUUGCAGGGUACUCGAGUGGCGAACGGGUGAGUAACACGUGGGUGAUCUGCCCUGCACUUCGGGAUAAGCCUGGGAAACUGGGUCUAAUACCGGAUAGGACCAUCGUUUAGUGUCGGUGGUGGAAAGUUUUUCGGUGCAGGAUGAGCUCGCGGCCUAUCAGCUUGUUGGUGGGGUAAUGGCCUACCAAGGCGUCGGCGGGUAGCCGGCCUGAGAGGGUGGACGGCCACAUUGGGACUGAGACACGGCCCAGACUCCUACGGGAGGCAGCAGUGGGGAAUAUUGCACAAUGGGCGCAAGCCUGAUGCAGCGACGCCGCGUGGGGGAUGAAGGCCUUCGGGUUGUAAACUCCUUUCAGCCAUGACGAAGCGUAAGUGACGGUAGUGGUAGAAGAAGCACCGGCUAACUACGUGCCAGCAGCCGCGGUAAUACGUAGGGUGCGAGCGUUGUCCGGAAUUACUGGGCGUAAAGAGCUCGUAGGUGGUUUGUCGCGUCGUCUGUGAAAUUCCGGGGCUUAACUCCGGGCGUGCAGGCGAUACGGGCAUAACUUGAGUGCUGUAGGGGAGACUGGAAUUCCUGGUGUAGCGGUGAAAUGCGCAGAUAUCAGGAGGAACACCGAUGGCGAAGGCAGGUCUCUGGGCAGUAACUGACGCUGAGGAGCGAAAGCAUGGGUAGCGAACAGGAUUAGAUACCCUGGUAGUCCAUGCCGUAAACGGUGGGCGCUAGGUGUGGGGGUCUUCCACGACUUCUGUGCCGUAGCU